AGAGCCUGUUGUGAGUUGGCUGUUCACUGCCCAGAGAGUUUCUGAAAAAUUCGAGGUGAUUCUAAUCGGUAGAUGAUUCUGUGUAGAUUAUUUGGGCGUUUUUCUUCUGAUUCUAGAGACUCUCCCCAUAGAGUUCCACCAAAGGAAAUAGUACCGAAGCGUUCUGAACCUUGUUAUUAGAAUAAAGCAACAACUUCUGCAACUUGCAGACCUCUCUCCCGUUGUUUUGUUUUAGCUCCGUCUAAAGGUAAAUGUAUAGAUGCAAGGCAUUUUUGUCAAUGUUACGUAAAACAGACUACAAGCGGUUGAUUUCGCUGUUUAUACCUUUGGAAACAAUGCAAAUUUUCUCUGACGAUAGGAGAAUCAUCCUGAAGUGUCGUUAGCUCGCUACAGAUCAGACGGAGGAUGAAGAAACUUCUGCUGGCAAAAUAAAAUCGAGAGGGGAGCAGAAAGCCUACCGAAGAGCUCCAGGAAAGGGGACAACUAAUACUGGAGGAUUUCAAAAUACCAGCUCCCUUUGGAAAAUACCUGCCAGUUUGGGAAAAGAGGUUGCGUUAAUCGUUUAUGUCUACAUUGUAAACAAACAUCGGUUUUAUAUGUGACUUUCGCUUUACAAAUGACUUGUCGGGCAACUUUGCCACCAUCGGAAUGGUGUUGUGAGCCCACUUUUACCAGGCGUUCAGGAGCUGCGGAUUCGCCAGUUAUCUCCCUCAUGUGCCUGGGCUACACUAAUGUUACAUUUGCUUUCGUGUUAGGACAGCACACAAUGGAAAUCUAAACAGGUAAUGUAGGUGGUAGGUUCCUGCUUCACAGGAAGUUCAAUUUCCCAAGCGUUUGACUUCAGCGCCCGUCUUAUUCUAUAGUUUUUAGGCUCUGUACGCGAAUCUCGUUUUUUUUCCCAUAGCCUUUAGGGGUCCUUUGGUUUACCUAUAGCUUCUAAACCAAUGUCACUACGGCUUAGGUCCCAAGAUUAGAGAGAAGGAAACUCCUCUACCCUCGCUGGAAAGAGGAUUUUUAAUCAAGACGCGCGUUGAAGUACACUUGAGAAUUAUUCCAAGCUGGAAAAAAGUAUUACCUUGGUUGUAUGUAAUAAAUGGAUCUGCACCUAUAUAAUACAUGAGGCUGCCCUUAGAAUACCUUCUUACACGUGCCUGGAGGCGAUCCACCCCAAACACCAUAACCUCAGCAACGGGCGCCUUAGUCCCGUGGGAAGAUAAACGAGUGCCCCUCUGUCCUCGGGCUCUCCCGAAUUAAGGACUGGCAGACGAUGCUUCGGGUAGAGUCACUCCGCUGCUCUGCAUUGGUGGCGACCCUGGGAGCGGAGGGCAUGAAAGGACAGAGCCCAUCCUGCCGGAAGCAGGCAGGCACAAUAUAAUUGUACAGUGCUGAGCCCUAACGUGUAAUCGCCUAAUAAUGUAUGUGCCACCUUGACAUUCUUAUCGAAAGCAUCAAACUGAUAUUUUCCCCCUUGGCUUUCACCGCAGGGACCUUUAUAAACCCCCUUCAUCAGUGGGAUGAAAUUAAGCCUGCAUUGAUGGUAGUCCCUUGAAACUCGAUAUUUAAAGGCAAUAGAUCUGAAUUAGCAAAUUAUAAUUGAAGUAGUGAGGUCCCACUAAGUUGACUAGGUAGCAUUUUACAUUUGCUCCUCACAGGGAAUAACCACAUGUUUGGGUCCUGAAAAUAACUUAACCUGAAGGUGCAAGCAAUUAUUGAGCUGAUCCUAGCAUGCCAGGACCUCCCCUCCUUCCUUCCUUCCUUCCCUCCCUUUCUCCCCUUCCCCCCAAGUUGUUGCAAACUGCUGUGUGGCAUUAGACUUUAUAAUCUGUUUUAAAUGAUUCGAUACAAAACAAGCGUCUGUUCUGAGGAGCUUGAAAAAGACACGUAAUCGAGGGAAAUGAGGUGUCGAUCUUAGACAUUAGAAUGUCUGAAGGAAUUUUGCUUCAACUCAGGUCCCUUUCUGUAUCUGAGGUGCUUGGAAUAAGCUGUGUUUACUUGUCCGGUGUCCUUUCUUCACCCUGAAGGAAUAGUCCCUUAUGUUCUUGUUGCACCUCACUGGGAACUGGAGGUUAGCUUGAUCUAAAACAACUAUACGGGGUUGUUUUUUUGAGAGAGAGAGAGAGAAAAAUAUCAGAAAUUGGUGCCAACACAAUCAGUACAUACAUUGCUCUCAAUCAGUUUUUUCCCCCAAACGUGCAGAAGCAAUUAGCAAUGUAUUUCCAGAGCAAAACACAUUUCCCUGUAUGUCUCAUUAUUAUCCAUGGAUUUUUUAAAAAAUAUAGCAGCAGUUGUGAAUGUCAAUAGCACUUAUCGUUAGAAACACCUCGGUCAUUCAAGUCUCUUGGCUUCCAAUGUCCUAAUGAUUGCCGCCUCUUAUCAGCUGUUCCGCAAAACCCCCCUUCUUCUUAUUGUUUCUUUGAAUUAAUGCACUAAUGUCACCUUUUGGCAUCUAUUGGAAUGGCUUUGAAUUGCCAAGAUAAAAAGACCUAGGCUCUGGGAAAUGUCUUCGCUACAUCCCAUUUUGGUCCUGGAAUGCAGCCCGGGGAGCUUAAAAUGUAAUAUUUUAAUUCCGUUACAGUAGGACAAAUUCUUAUUGAGAGAGGCAGGUUCAAGAGCGCUCUCUUUCUCUUGAUCAGUGUCAGGUUGUUCAGAGCACAGUAAAACAUUUUGUGCUGUAUCAAAAGACGGUCCCCCCCCAUGCAGUAUCGAAUAUAAUAUAGGGCUGCUAAACAGAAACUUCUUUGUCUAGAAGACGUUAUUUGGGACAGAGAAACACGGUUACAAUGGACUGCUUUAAAAAAAUUGUGAAUGUAUUUUAUUUAUUCGGAGUCGAUUUAAAUUCUACACGGAGAUUAAAAAAAGACUAACGAGAAGGACCAUCUUCAUCAGUCUAGUUUGUUUGCUGCUCUUUUGCCGCAGAGGGUGU
Mauremys mutica (yellowpond turtle) is the source of this 2923-nucleotide long non-coding RNA. RefSeq lists it as uncharacterized. The transcript has 4 exons. NCBI's taxonomy places the organism in Eukaryota, Metazoa, Chordata, Testudines, Geoemydidae. The record is from RefSeq and is a predicted model, not a curated record.